GGGAUCUCUGCUGUAACGUGACAUUUUCUAAUGCUCCCAUAGGCUCUCAGAAGGCGCCAGAACGUUGAAUGAUGACUUUGCAGGCCAUGGCUGAAAAACAGUAGCGCAUUUGGAUAGUGGUCGAUCUGAGAACAAUGAGACUGGCGCACACGUGCACGAGAAGAGUCCAUUUUACUUUCUCUAUCUUUGAACGAAAACAACGACUCCCGGUCGGAAUAUUAUCGCUUUUUUUACGAGAAAAAUUGCAUAAAAAUUGAUUUUAAACAGCGUUUGACAUGCUUCGAAGUACGGUAAUGGAAUAUUUUGAAAUGUAUUGUCACGAAACGCGCCGGGCGCAUCACCCUUCAUUACCCUUCGGAUAGUGUCUUGAACGCACAACAAAACGCCGCUAUUUGGAUAUAACUAUGGAUUAUUUGAAACCAAAACAACAUUGGGUGAUGAAGUAGAAGUCCUGGGAGUGCAUUCUGAUGAAGAACAGCAAAGGACCUGAGCCCUAGGACCAUGCCUCAGGACUACCUGGCAUGAUGACUCCUUGCUGUCCCCAGUCCACCUGGCCGUGCUGCUGCUCCAGUUUCAACUGUUCUGCCUGCGGCUAUGGAACCCUGACCUGUUCACCGGACGUGCUUGUUGCACCCUCGACAACUACUAUGAUUAUUAUUAUUUGACCAUGCUGGUCAUUUAUGAACAUUUUAACAUCUUGACCAUGUUCUGUUAUAAUAUCCACCCGGCACAACCAGAAGAGGACUGGCCACCCCUCAUAGCCUGGUUCCUCUCUAGGUUUCUUCCUAGGUUUUUGGCCUUUCUAGGGAGUUUUUCCUAGGGAGUUUUUCCUAGCCACCGUGCUUCUUUCACAUGCAUUGCUUGCUGUUUGGGGUUUUAGGCUGGGUUUCUGUAC
RNAcentral lists this long non-coding RNA (895 nucleotides) under Salmo salar (Atlantic salmon). Its description in RNAcentral is "lncRNA (ENSSSAG00000093795.1)". The record is from RNAcentral. Lineage: Eukaryota; Metazoa; Chordata; Actinopteri; Salmoniformes; Salmonidae.